CACCUCUCAAAGUUAACUCUUUGGCGUUGGGCAAUGCCUAGAGGCAUGCCUCAAAAUCAGCGAUGGUGAUAUUCAACCACAGGCGCACACACGUCGUCUAGCUGGCGGGAUGUUGUCAGUCAAUUGAUGAAUUUCUCAA
Molecule: unclassified non-coding RNA, 139 nt
Filed under: uncultured Lecanoromycetes
Lineage: Eukaryota; Fungi; Ascomycota; Lecanoromycetes
Description: sequence contains ITS2
Source: RNAcentral